UAAUCAAUUAGGACAACAUUAACAAUCCUCUAUAUGUGGAGGAGGCUCCACCUGUGGAUGAUCCGACCCUAAAUGCAGCAAAAUCCAGCCAGGUUGGUUUCUGCAAGUUUGACAAAACACGUUGAUUGAAAUGUCUUAGAUAUUAGACAUUUAGUGAUCUUGUAGCAUUUUCAGGAUGUUUCAGAGAACCGAGCACAUGGUUUAGCCUUUGAAGGUGUCACUACUACUCCACCUGCAGCACCAGCCUCACAGGUAACCAUGGAGAUACAUAUAAAUGUUGAAACAGUUUUUCUUUUUUCUUAAAAGAUACCUUUUAUAGUUGCACAUAUUUCUUAAUGAAACUUUUGCUUUUUAACCAGGAAAUAAAAGUUGUUGCAGGUGGAAAGUUAGCAUCUUUUCAAAACCCCCUGUAUAAGGAAUCUGAAGAUGCUCACCGUUCUGAUUCAGACAUUUGACGGGACCGGUUCACCAGGAUUUAGACAGAGCCAUCACACUGACUCAUUCAUUUUUUUACAGGAUCCUGUUAAAACUCGAUGAAGGGCUUCAUAAAACUGAACCUAAAUUAACCAAAACACUUUGUAGUACAGGAAAAUGCAGUAUUCUGACACUUUGAGAUGUAACCUAAAACUUUGUAUGGAUUGUAUUGUAAAAAUAAAUAAAUGAUAAUCUUGAUUUGAUAUACUAUUCAUUCUUAAUGCAUUAAAGUCAAUGAAAAUGCGUGAACCUCAAUUUAUAAUUCAUUUUGUACCUUAUUGUAAAUUUGUUGUAAAUUCUUCUUAAAGAAAACCAUUAUCAUGUUUUGUCUACUGUUGUUAAUCUGCCUGGAGCUUAACAGUUAUUUUCUGAGUUGGUAAACUGUUUUACGUUUUUAUAUAAAGAUAAAAUGGAAAGGUUUUUCUUU
Long non-coding RNA from Oryzias sinensis (Chinese medaka), 901 nucleotides. The record is from Ensembl. NCBI's taxonomy places the organism in Eukaryota, Metazoa, Chordata, Actinopteri, Beloniformes, Adrianichthyidae.